GUUUGGUAAAUUUUAAUUGAAAGAGAGGAUAAAAAGAGGGAAGAGAAGAAAAUUGGUGGAGGAGAAGGUGACCCGUGAUGGUUGCGGUGGUGGACACGAUGGCUCAUGGCGGCGUGCGGUAGAAAAGGGGAGAGGAAACUAAAAGAAAAAGAUAGGGAAUGUUGGUUGUGGACAGUGGUGAGGUGGUGGUGCAAAUAAACUUACGGUGGUUGAAAGAAAAUGGUGGUGGUUGUGGCGGCAAAAAAGAGAGAAAAAUGAGGGGAAGAAAAUGAAAAAAAUGGAGACUAGGGUGCAAAUAGGGGUGAUGGAUGGUACAAGGGGUGGUGUAGCUUGGUCAACAUGACCAAGUUCAAUGCACCACAAGCUUAUGGCAAGAGAAGAGCUUUUGGCAAGGGAGUGAGACAAAGAGGGAAAAGGGGGAUGUGUUUCAUUUUCAAAUGGC
Molecule: long non-coding RNA, 442 nt
Filed under: Gossypium raimondii (Peruvian cotton)
Lineage: Eukaryota; Viridiplantae; Streptophyta; Magnoliopsida; Malvales; Malvaceae
Description: long non-coding RNA (GRAI_LNC010483)
Source: RNAcentral